CGCGUAACACGUAGGCAACCUGCCCGAAAGACCGGGAUAACGGCUCGAAAGGGUCGCUAAUACCGGAUGUGGCCGGCGGAAGACAUCUUCUGCCGAUUAAAUCACUUGUGGCUUUCGGAGGGGCCUGCGGCCUAUCAGCUAGAUGGCGAGGUAACGGCUCACCAUGGCGACGACGGGUAGCUGGUCUGAGAGGAUGGUCAGCCGGACUGGGACUGAGAUACGGCCCAG
This 228-nucleotide ribosomal RNA is filed under the name uncultured bacterium. RNAcentral's name for it is "partial 16S ribosomal RNA". It matches the Rfam family "Bacterial small subunit ribosomal RNA", at positions 107 to 334 of the family's 1533-position model. The record is from RNAcentral.